Molecule: ribosomal RNA, 720 nt
Filed under: uncultured beta proteobacterium
Lineage: Bacteria; Pseudomonadati; Pseudomonadota; Betaproteobacteria
Description: bacterial SSU rRNA
Rfam family: Bacterial small subunit ribosomal RNA
Source: RNAcentral
UGCAAGUCGAACGCAGCGCGGGCUUCGGCCUGGCGGCGAGUGGCGGACGGGUGAGUAAUGCAUCGGAACGUGCCCAGGAGUGGGGGAUAACGUAGCGAAAGUUACGCUAAUACCGCAUACGUACUGAGGUAGAAAGCGGGGGAUCGAAAGACCUCGCGCUCAUGGAGCGGCCGAUGUCGGAUUAGCUAGUUGGUGGGGUAAAGGCCUACCAAGGCGACGAUCCGUAGCUGGUCUGAGAGGACGACCAGCCACACUGGGACUGAGACACGGCCCAGACUCCUACGGGAGGCAGCAGUGGGGAAUCUUGGACAAUGGGGGAAACCCUGAUCCAGCAAUGCCGCGUGUGGGAUGAAGGCCCUCGGGUUGUAAACCACUUUUGGCAGGAAAGAAAUUGCCUGUGCUAAUACCAUGGGCGGAUGACGGCACCUGCAGAAUAAGCACCGGCUAACUACGUGCCAGCAGCCGCGGUAAUACGUAGGGUGCGAGCGUUAAUCGGAAUUACUGGGCGUAAAGAGUGCGUAGGCGGUUUUGUAAGACAGAUGUGAAAUCCCCGGGCUUAACCUGGGAACUGCAUUUGUGACUGCAAGACUAGAGUGUGUCAGAGGGAGGUGGAAUUCCGCGUGUAGCAGUGAAAUGCGUAGAGAUGCGGAAGAACACCGAUGGCGAAGGCAGCCUCCUGGGAUAACACUGACGCUCAGGCACGAAAGCGUGGGGAGCAAA